RNAcentral lists this ribosomal RNA (253 nucleotides) under uncultured bacterium. RNAcentral describes it as "partial 16S ribosomal RNA". It matches the Rfam family "Bacterial small subunit ribosomal RNA", at positions 524 to 776 of the family's 1533-position model. The record is from RNAcentral.
UACGUAGGUGGCAAGCGUUGUUCGGAAUUAUUGGGCGUAAAGGGCGCGUAGGCGGUUUGUUAAGUCAGCUGUGAAAGCCCGGGGCUCAACCCCGGAGGGUCAGCUGAUACUGGCAGGCUAGAGUACAGAAGAGGUAACUGGAAUUCCCGGUGUAGCGGUGAAAUGCGUAGAUAUCCGGAGGAACACCGGUGGCGAAGGCGGCUUCCUGGACCGACACUGACGCUGAGGCGCGAAAGCUAGGGGAGCAAACGGG